Long non-coding RNA from Vitis riparia (riverbank grape), 867 nucleotides. RefSeq lists it as uncharacterized. The transcript has 3 exons. The record is from RefSeq and is a predicted model, not a curated record. NCBI's taxonomy places the organism in Eukaryota, Viridiplantae, Streptophyta, Magnoliopsida, Vitales, Vitaceae.
ACACACGUGUUAAUGCUUGCUGCAUCAGAGCCUAAGUGUUCAACAGCUUUAUAGAAUAUGUACACUAUACUGGGAUGACAACUACAACACUCGAAGUGUCUCACCAGAUGUCAUUUCCAGCAUGUGGGAACUAAUGCCAGAGGACUCCAAUGAUACUGCCAGUGACUCUAAUGAUGCUGCUAGCAACUCAUUUUUGUUGGAUGACAAUUCCAGCAUUCCUUUCUCAGUUGAUGACAUUUCUAGUGCUAUUCAUGAGAAGGAUUUCUCAGAUGUAAAACCUGCUGCUCAACUUCUGGAGAAUCAAGCCUUCCAAUUUUUACAGGAUUAAAGGCCGUGGUUCUUUCAUUCUUUUUUCUAGCCUGCAAUGGCCACCACAUAAGAUGGUUACUGGUGUUCUUCCUGCCAGUGCCACAAUGUAGAUCCACCACCAUUUUUUGGUCAACACAGGUUUCUCCACUUGGCAACAUCCAUUGCCCUGGAUGUAAAAUUAUGCUCUUUUUUUUUUUUUUUUUUUUUGUUGUUGUUGUUCUAAAAAAAAAAUUAGGGUUGUAAAAUUCAAUUAGGCUGAUUCAAAUAGUUUAAAAGGGGCAGGGAUGCGGUUUAAUCUUUUGCAUUUUCUUUAUAUUUGAUGGGACAAUGGGAGUGAACAUUCUUUGUAGGACUGGUAGGAGGCGUAUUUUUAAAUGUAGUGUGGUGGAAGGAGUUGCCCUUAAGAUCGCACUUCUCCAGCCCAGUGGGGAGCUGCUCUUAAAGAGAACUUUCUCCGGCACCCCAGAUUUUCAUUUUGUACAAAGCUGACAGAAUGUGGCAAGAUAUUUAUUGUAGUUCAACCUUUUGAUUAAACUGGUUUCAUUACAUCCCUUGUAG